This 697-nucleotide long non-coding RNA is filed under the name Malus domestica (apple). Its description in RNAcentral is "long non-coding RNA (MDOM_LNC014729)". Lineage: Eukaryota; Viridiplantae; Streptophyta; Magnoliopsida; Rosales; Rosaceae. The record is from RNAcentral.
ACGCACGCAAGGUAUGUGUAUCAUUCUCAUUCUUCAACCUGAACAAACACAAAAUGCAAAAGUAGGUCUCACGUUGAAAUUCGGUAUGUCAUGACUCGUACCUGAACAACUAGGUACGAGCUGAGAUCACCAGGGGAAUUGUUUAUGACUUGAACAACGGGUAUCAUUCUCAUUCAUGACUUCUCUGAUGCAGACUUCAAGGAGCACUGGGAAUCUGGAUUGGAUGAGCUUUUGGGAUUGAAAAUAAUGGACGGAAUGUAACACAAUUGCAAUGGAGAUUCAGGUUGGCGAAUUUUGCAAAAGUUCUUUUGAUCACACGCAUCGUAUAAGAGUCAAGUCAGACAGAUUCAGCAACUGAAACGCACAAAAGAUGGGUGCCAUGCCAUUUUCAAACCACAUGUUCGAAAACAACUGAUGCAUAGGCGGACAAGAAAUAAACAAAAACUCAUCAGCAUUUGACAUCAUCACUAUAUCAUAUGUAGAACCUACAGAGCAGGUCCGGAACCGCACGUGUAGUUGCAGAAAAACGUAGCUAUAAAUGCAGGCAAUUCUGCAGUGCAGUGAGUAACAAUUGCAAGCUAACCAUAAUUCAUAUAAUCGUGAGAUUUGUGGUAAUCAUUCAUUAACAUUGGAACACCACGCUCACAGAUUAGGGGGAAAUGUAUGUGUUUGUGAUAAGGGAAUAAGGGUAAGUUGC